AUAAACUGGGAUUAGAUACCCCACUAUGCCCAGCCCUAAACAUUGACAACCCCCCACACCCGUUGUCCGCCCGGGUACUACGAGCAUUAGCUUAAAACCCAAAGGACUUGGCGGUGCUUUAGAUCCACCUAGAGGAGCCUGUUCUAGAACCGAUACUCCCCGUUAAACCUCACCCCUUCUUGUUCUUACCGCCUAUAUACCACCGUCGUCAGCUUACCCUGUGAAGGAUUAGUAGUAAGCAGAGUUGUCACAACCCAAAACGUCAGGUCGAGGUGUAGUGUAUGAAGGGGGAAGAAAUGGGCUACAUUCUCUAUUUAAGAGAAUACGGAUGGUGUACUGAAAAAAUACAUCUGAAGGAGGAUUUAGUAGUAAGCGGAAAGCAGAGUGUUCCGCUGAAAAUGGC
This 403-nucleotide ribosomal RNA is filed under the name Sladenia zhui. RNAcentral describes it as "partial 12S ribosomal RNA". It matches the Rfam family "Bacterial small subunit ribosomal RNA", at positions 767 to 1372 of the family's 1533-position model. Lineage: Eukaryota; Metazoa; Chordata; Actinopteri; Lophiiformes; Lophiidae. The record is from RNAcentral.